UCCGUAGGUGAACCUGCGGAGGGAUACAUUAC
Molecule: ribosomal RNA, 32 nt
Filed under: Fusarium graminearum
Lineage: Eukaryota; Fungi; Ascomycota; Sordariomycetes; Hypocreales; Nectriaceae
Description: partial 18S ribosomal RNA
Source: RNAcentral